ACCCGGUUGGCUCAGUCGGUAGAGCGUGUGACUCUUCAUCUUGGGGUUGUGGGUUCGAGCCCCACAUUGGCUG
This 73-nucleotide transfer RNA is filed under the name Ailuropoda melanoleuca (giant panda). It matches the Rfam family "tRNA". From Rfam's summary of the family: Transfer RNA (tRNA) molecules are approximately 80 nucleotides in length. Their secondary structure includes four short double-helical elements and three loops (D, anti-codon, and T loops). The record is from Rfam by way of RNAcentral. Lineage: Eukaryota; Metazoa; Chordata; Mammalia; Carnivora; Ursidae.